Molecule: small nuclear RNA, 162 nt
Organism: Suncus etruscus (white-toothed pygmy shrew)
Lineage: Eukaryota; Metazoa; Chordata; Mammalia; Eulipotyphla; Soricidae
Product: U1 spliceosomal RNA
Exons: 1
Source: RefSeq, a predicted model, not a curated record
AUACUUACCUGGCAGGGGAGAUACCAUGAUCAGGAAGGUGGUUUCCCCAGGGCCAGGCUUAUCCAUUGCACUUCGGAUGUGCUGACCCCUGCGAUUUUCCCAAAUGUGGGAAACUCGACUGCAUAAUUUGUGAUAGAGUGGGACUGAGUUAUAAAUUUUUUA